UCCACUCGCGGGCAAGGGCAGCCCAGGGGCCCCAUGUGACCUUGCGCCUCGCCCCCAAAGAUCCCUGCGGGUUGGGGCUUUGGGAGGCUAGGUUGCCACGGUCAGGGACCGAGGAGGGUGACCCGGUGAGGGGCGCAGAUGAAGCACUGCCCUCUGGGGCCGGGCCAGGCACGGUUAUUUAUAACCACGGGUCGCCUUACCUCCUGACCUUCAGCUGGGGCCCGGCGAGCCGCAGCGAUUAGCAUCUCCUGCCGCCCAUUAUGAACAAACACCCCUGUGUGCCCGCCCCGGGCCCUGCAGGAAGCAGGAUGUUGGCCGGAGCUGGUGCCCCGUGGCUCCCUCAGGUGAACCCGCCACGUGUGUCUUUACAGCAUGCGACAGAGCAGGGGGAGCGGAAGUUCCUGGAGUCUACAAGCUUCCCCACCACUGCCUCCGUCAUCGCAUUCCAGAACCCAGAACCAAAGGCCACCUCCUGAGUCCACUGGUCCCAUCCACUGGCCUUUAGGGGCAGGUCCACCUGGUUUUGCUCUGCUGUUGGCACGCCUGGGAAACUGCCCACCUCCUCCCAAGCGCCCCAUGCUCCUGCCUUCCCAGGGGCGCUGAGGCUGUGGACCAUCCCACCUCCGACAUCUUCUGUGAGGGCUCCUUGGCUGGCCAGGGGCGUCCUGCCCAAGGUGAUGCCAGAGAGGCCCCAUGGAGAAUCUCUCUGAAGGCUCACCUGUCAUCCUAAAGUAGACUCUUCCCAGGUUCAAGAAGGAAAAGAUAGACACUCCAGGGAAGCACGGCACCCAGAGAACUCAACAAUUUCUGUCUUCUUUUUAUUUAAAAAAAUAAUUUUUUAAGUGUUUACUUAUAUUUGAGAGAGACACACACACAGGUCCCAGGUAACCUCCCCAACAUAGAAACGUAGACUGCCUACAAAAUAAAAAGCCUGUGUCCACAGAAGCAGAACAGGCCAACAACAGGUGGCAAAAGGCAGCAGCUGAAAGUUCGCUCUGGGACCUGUCCCUCACCUGGGCUAGCCAAAGGGGGCCUGCACAGGAUGAAAUGAACUCUUCGAUGCGAAAGAGAAUAUGGGUCUCCUCCGCUGUUGAAUUUUCACGGAACACCCCUUGUCCUUAAAUUGGGGAGGGCAGAGCAACAGAGAAAGGUAUUCACCGAAAGGUCCGAUGUAGGCCCAUGUUACCUGUGCUUCGUAACCCACUUCUUUUAGGACAGACAACGUCUAGAACACUGCUGGACUGGAAAUAAGAAUAUGCUGCAUUGGGGCA
Leopardus geoffroyi (Geoffroy's cat) is the source of this 1271-nucleotide long non-coding RNA. RefSeq lists it as uncharacterized. NCBI's taxonomy places the organism in Eukaryota, Metazoa, Chordata, Mammalia, Carnivora, Felidae. The transcript has 6 exons. The record is from RefSeq and is a predicted model, not a curated record.